This 656-nucleotide ribosomal RNA is filed under the name uncultured bacterium. RNAcentral's name for it is "bacterial SSU rRNA". It matches the Rfam family "Bacterial small subunit ribosomal RNA", at positions 153 to 796 of the family's 1533-position model. The record is from RNAcentral.
GAAACAGGUGCUAAUACCGUAUAACACUAUUUUCCGCAUGGAAGAAAGUUGAAAGGCGCUUUUGCGCCACUGAUGGAUGGACCCGCGGUGCAUUAGCUAGUUGGUGAGGUAACGGCUCACCAAGGCCACGAUGCAUAGCCGACCUGAGAGGGUGAUCGGCCACACUGGGACUGAGACACGGCCCAGACUCCUACGGGAGGCAGCAGUAGGGAAUCUUCGGCAAUGGACGAAAGUCUGACCGAGCAACGCCGCGUGAGUGAAGAAGGUUUUCGGAUCGUAAAACUCUGUUGUUAGAGAAGAACAAGGAUGAGAGUAAAACGUUCAUCCCUUGACGGUAUCUAACCAGAAAGCCACGGCUAACUACGUGCCAGCAGCCGCGGUAAUACGUAGGUGGCAAGCGUUGUCCGGAUUUAUUGGGCGUAAAGCGAGCGCAGGCGGUUUCUUAAGUCUGAUGUGAAAGCCCCCGGCUCAGCCGGGGAGGGUCAUUGGAAACUGGGAGACUUGAGUGCAGAAGAGGAGAGUGGAAUUCCAUGUGUAGCGGUGAAAUGCGUAGAUAUAUGGAGGAACACCAGUGGCGAAGGCGGCUCUCUGGUCUGUAACUGACGCUGAGGCUCGAAAGCGUGGGGAGCGAACAGGAUUAGAUACCCUGGUAGUCC